CGGAUUUAUUGGGUUUAAAGGGAGCGUAGAUGGAUGUUUAAGUCAGUUGUGAAAGUUUGCGGCUCAACCGUAAAAUUGCAGUUGAUACUGGAUAUCUUGAGUGCAGUUGAGGCAGGCGGAAUUCGUGGUGUAGCGGUGAAAUGCUUAGAUAUCACGAAGAACUCCGAUUGCGAAGGCAGCCUGCUAAGCUGCAACUGACAUUGAGGCUCGAAAGUGUGGGUAUCAAACAGGAUUAGAUACCCUGGUAGUCCACACGGUAAACGAUGAAUACUCGCUGUUUGCGAUAUACAGCAAGCGGCCAAGCGAAAGCGUUAAGUAUUCCACCUGGGGAGUACGCCGGCAACGGUGAAACUCAAAGGAAUUGACGGGGGCCCGCACAAGCGGAGGAACAUGUGGUUUAAUUCGAUGAUACGCGAGGAACCUUACCCGGGCUUAAAUUGCAGAUGAAUUACGGUGAAAGCCGUAAGCCGCAAGGCAUCUGUGAAGGUGCUGCAUGGUUGUCGUCAGCUCGUGCCGUGAGGUGUCGGCUUAAGUGCCAUAACGAGCGCAACCCUUGUUGUCAGUUACUAACAGGUUCUGCUGAGGACUCUGACAAGACUGCCAUCGUAAGAUGUGAGGAAGGUGGGGAUGACGUCAAAUCAGCACGGCCCUUACGUCCGGGGCUACACACGUGUUACAAUGGGGGGUACAGAGGGCCGCUACCACGCGAGUGGAUGCCAAUCCCAAAAACCUCUCUCAGUUCGGACUGGAGUCUGCAACCCGACUCCACGAAGCUGGAUUCGCUAGUAAUCGCGCAUCAGCCACGGCGCGGUGAAUACGUUCCCGGGCCUUGUACACACCGCCCGUCAAGCCAUGGGAGCCGGGGGUACCUGAAGUGCGUAACCGCGAGGAGCGCCCUACGGGUAAA
RNAcentral lists this ribosomal RNA (907 nucleotides) under Bacteroides sp. BS-07. RNAcentral's name for it is "bacterial SSU rRNA". It matches the Rfam family "Bacterial small subunit ribosomal RNA", at positions 546 to 1466 of the family's 1533-position model. Lineage: Bacteria; Pseudomonadati; Bacteroidota; Bacteroidia; Bacteroidales; Bacteroidaceae. The record is from RNAcentral.